AUCUAGAGAAAAAGGUCCGUAGUAUGAUGCAACGAUCCCGAUUCCGAGUUUUACACUUUCUGAUUUUUGAUGCUUUCUUUUUUCUCUUUUCUAAUCCAAUUCGUUUCCACAGUUCACCUUCUCCGUUGGCUUCAUGAUGAUAUAUAUUUCUAUGAAUCAUUUCCAUUUCUCUGAUAAUCUAUUUCAUGAUCAUGGUUUUGUAGUUAUUGAUUUUGAAUUUUCUGGUUUUUUUUGUUUUACCCUUCAUUUCUGAUAGCUUCUGGAAUCGAUUCACAGUAUUUUAGCUUUUGAUUAUGAAAAUGAUUUUAUUUAUUUUCCUUCGUGUGUUUUAAUGUGUGGAACAAUCAGCAGAAGGAAGAAGACAUGGCAAACAACUCAUAUGAGGAAGCCGUUGCAGGACUGUCAAAGCUUCUCAGUGAGAAAGCUGAC
This 429-nucleotide unclassified non-coding RNA is filed under the name Hevea brasiliensis (rubber tree). The record is from RNAcentral. Lineage: Eukaryota; Viridiplantae; Streptophyta; Magnoliopsida; Malpighiales; Euphorbiaceae.